RNAcentral lists this non-coding RNA (84 nucleotides) under human gut metagenome. RNAcentral's name for it is "Glycine riboswitch". It matches the Rfam family "Glycine riboswitch aptamer", at positions 9 to 86 of the family's 94-position model. Rfam says of the family: This family represents the bacterial glycine riboswitch. Glycine riboswitches usually consist of two metabolite-binding aptamers domains with similar structures in tandem. The record is from RNAcentral.
CUUCGGAGAAGCUCAUUGGAUUGAGUGCCGAAGGGGCAAGGCUGCACUUUGGGGCGGCUGAAACUCUCAGGCAAAAGGACGAAG